GUUUACCAAAAACAUGGCUUCAUGGUAUCAUAGUAUAUGAAGUCGAGCCUGCCCGGUGAAGUGUUUUAACGGCCGCGGUACUCUGACCGUGCAAAGGUAGCAUAAUCAUUUGCCUUAUAAUUGAAGGCUGGAAUGAAUGGUUUGACAAGAAUAUUACUGUCUCUGAGAAAUUUAUUAGAAUUUUAUUUCUAGGUGAAAAAGCCUUAAUUAAAUUGAAAGACAAGAAGACCCUAUCGAGCUUUAAAAAAAUAAAUGAGGUAUUAUUUUAUUAUUUUAAAUAAAUGUUUGUUGAAAAUUUUGGUUGGGGCAACUAAGGAGUAUUUGAAGCCUCCUCUACUUAAAAAAAUUUAUGGAUCUUGAUCCAGAAAAGUCUGAUUAACAGAAAUAGUUACCGUAGGGAUAACAGCAUUAUUUUCUUUGAGAGCUCCAAUCGAAAAGAAAGUUUGUGACCUCGAUGUUGGACCAGAAUGUCCUAAAGAUGCAGAAGUCUUUAAGGGUUGGUCUGUUCGACCAUUAAUAUUCUACGUGAUCUGAGUUCAGACCGG
Molecule: ribosomal RNA, 545 nt
Filed under: Lienardia cincta
Lineage: Eukaryota; Metazoa; Mollusca; Gastropoda; Neogastropoda; Clathurellidae
Description: partial 16S ribosomal RNA
Rfam family: Bacterial large subunit ribosomal RNA
Source: RNAcentral